This 3191-nucleotide long non-coding RNA is filed under the name Trifolium pratense (red clover). RNAcentral describes it as "long non-coding RNA (TPRA_LNC012679)". The record is from RNAcentral. Lineage: Eukaryota; Viridiplantae; Streptophyta; Magnoliopsida; Fabales; Fabaceae.
UUGAAUAUUUUGAAUAAAUUAAGUGUAAUGAAAAAGUUAUAAACGAGAAGUUUAUUCUACACUUAUAUAUUAGUGCAAUUGAAACAUAAAUUAUUGUAAACCAGAAGUUUACACAUCGUAUAAAAUUUAUUGUUGGCAAUACCGGUUGGGUAUCCCGGAUGUAUUAUGAUGCGAAAAAAAUAAAAAAUCUAUAGGUAUGUAUUGAAGGGCCUGAAGUUCCUUCAUUCCAAUAAUUUUUAUGUGUUACUAGCUCACAAAAGAAAUUGAUAAUUUGAGAAUAUGGAUCAUUUAGACACUUUGUGACUUGAAUUGAUGCAUCAACUAAAUUGGUCACAUGCAUAUUUACUCACAACCAGAAGUUUGUGAGAUUAUUUUCUCAAAUAGUUUUGCUAAGAUCUCAUUUUCUAAAUUCUUAGAAAAUAUUUGAUAAGUAUUGUAUGUCAAUUGAAAUUGAUAUUGAACAGAAUAUGGUCAUACAAGAAAAAAAUGGACUUGAAGAUCUAUUCUUUAGACGUCUAAAGUUAAUUACAUGACUGAUACUUAUGAGAUCAUAACUUCUAAUUUAUAUUUUGGGAACAUUCAAACAUGUAUAUUGAAAUACUAAUUCGCAUCAAGCCAACAAGUUAUUAUAAGUUCUCCCCUAAUUUACAAUUUGAACUUUGUUUAUAAAUAUGAUUCCCAUGUAAGCAUUUUUGGAUGUGUUGUGUUUGUGCAAUUGUUCCAAUAGAAUGCAUUUAAACGGUUCUUAAAGAAUAUUGAGAAAAUGUAUUUGAUAUGAAUCUCCAUCUAUUAUAAAUCAUCUUGAGCCAAAAAUUUGAGAAUUAUUUACAGCCCUGUAGGCUGAUUUUCAAGUGAUGAAUUAAUUUUCCCAAUAUUAGGGGGGAGAAUAAGCAGCUGAAAAAUAUGAACCAGAAGUUCAAAUAAAUCACUUGAAAUAAAUUAAUGUUAUUAUCUCACAUUGAUCCUCAUAGUUUGAAUCAAAUGUUCAAAAGAUAAAUCAUUUGCAAAAUUUAUGAAAUCACCUAUUAGCUGCUAAUGCUCCAAUCAAAAUGGAUGUCCCUGUUGGACAAUCUUAUAUUGCAAAUCAAUAUUAACCACCCUGAAGUGUGGUAGAUCAGUCGAAUCCAAUGAUAAAAAUCCUCAAAUAAGAAUAGGAGCUAAAAAGAAAGAUGAUCCAAGUGAGAAUAUGAAAACUUCAAAAGAGUAUUUGACAUAAUUGAGUUUUAAGUUAUAGAAGAACUUCUUAGGUACUUGAAAUUUAUGAUAAUAAAGAGAUCUUGACGAAUUAUGUCAUGAAUGAAAAUUAAUGUAUGAAUGGAAUAUGAUGGAAUCGAAAGGAAGUCAACGUUGAUGAUAUUUUUAUAUAUAAUAUAGCGCUAUAUGUGAAAAGAGUUAAUGAGGAUCAUGAACUAAAUUCUAUUGAGAAUUAUAGACAAUGAUGGUCUAAAUGAAAAUACACAAUUGUUACCUAAAGCCACUUUGCAAAGUGAAAGAUCUUUGGACCCACAUUCCAUCACAAUUUUUUGAACACAAUAUUUAAUCACACAUACAUUGAAAUAUUUGUCACUUAAUACAUUAAAAAAUAUACAUUAUUUAAUUCUUUUAUCUUUAUGCAUUUUUUCACAUACAUGAGAGUGACCAAAUACAAGGUCUAAAUAAUUAAGCAUUGACUCAAAUGGUUAACAAGAUUCCCUUAAAACAAAUCCUUCAGGAAAACUCGAGUUUAAUUUUUGAUCAAAUUUUACUUAAUUCAUGGCCGAACUUUAUAUUACUAUGACCCUUUCUUCUUUAAAUCAAAGAAUUAAUACAAAAAAAAAAUCUAAAUGGUUGUGACUACAAAAGUCUUUUCUCCAUAAAACUACUACUUGAUCCCUCCGUUCAAUUUUAUAAGAUAUAUUUUGACUAAAUGCAUUAUUCAUAUAUCUUGUUUUGACCGUAAUUUUCUAAAAGUAUAUAAAUGUAAAUAUUAUCAUAUAAAAUAUUGUUUGAUUUGUCUCGAUGAAUAUUUUCAAAAUAUCAAAUUUCUAAAAUUUUUAAUAAUAGACAAUUAAAGAUAUUCAUAAUCAAAAUUAUGUAUUGACACAUGUACCGUGGUCAAUGUAUCCUUAUAUUUUUUUUGAUGGAGAGAGUAUUUAAUUAAGGAUGGUAAACACUUCAUUGUCUCUCCACACACCUAUGAAGCACGGACUCCGACACGGACACCGCGACAUGACACGGACACGGACACCACGACACCGCUAAUAUAAAAAAUAUAGGACACCGACACCGCUACAUAUUUAUAAAACAUAUAAAUUGAUAAUCAAAAUAUAUACAUGUAAAUCUAAUUUGAGCAAGUUAUAUUUUUAAAAAAAAAUUAAAACAAGAUAUGAUAGUAUUUUACCUUUAUUUAUCCAUCUACGAUCGAAAAAACUAAAAAUAUCGUAAUCAAAAUGUAAUGUCUUCAAUCCCACAUUGAUCAAUAUUGUUGUUNNNNNNNNNNNNNCCGAUCAAAGGAGUGUCAAACUAAAGAAAAAAUUGAAUUUUUUCCGACACCGAUAUGAGCUAUCCGACACGUGUCGGACGAGUGUCAUACGAGUGUCGGACACCGACACGUGUCGGACACCGCGAUACGCCUAAUCAUAGAGGUGUUGGUGCUUCCUAGCCACACACCCACAGUUAAAAGAAAUACACUUCGGAAUUAAAGGACGAUAACACGCCUUGUUGAAACAAUCACUGUUAAUUCCGCAAGGGAAUGGAGCAACUACAAUGUAAAAAAAAAAAUUGGUUACUAAUAGAUUGCAAAUAUUAUAAGUACUCGAUCGAUUUUUAUUAUAAGAAAUUUUUUAAUUUUUAAAUUCAUCCAAUAAUUAAUGUAAUUAGUUUAUAUUAUAGAUCAAAUACAUUAGACAUUCAAUAAAUUUAAAGUAGUAUUAGCUUUUUCUUAUAAAAAGGACGGACAAAAUAUAUGAUAUAAAAGAAAAUUUAAAAAUGAUUGAAGAAAUGACUUACACAUUGGUUUUCUAGGGCCGCCGCCAUCGGUUAUAACAAGAAACAUGAAAAGAAAAAUUAUCAAAACAUAAAUAAACUUCGAAAUAUGAGCCAUGUUUUUUUUCUCCUUUGCAUGCAAUGAAUUGGAAAUUGUUUGAUUAGUACUUUAUAAGUAAAAAUCCUAAAAUUUGUUAACUAUAAUUAAGUAGAUCUUAGCACUUUCG